RNAcentral lists this ribosomal RNA (460 nucleotides) under uncultured bacterium. RNAcentral's name for it is "partial 16S ribosomal RNA". It matches the Rfam family "Bacterial small subunit ribosomal RNA", at positions 338 to 795 of the family's 1533-position model. The record is from RNAcentral.
CCUACGGGUGACAGCAGUGAGGAAUAUUGGUCAAUGGGAGCGAGCCUGAACCAGCCAUGUAGCGUGAAGGACGACUGCCCUACGAGUUGUAAACUUCUUUUAUACAGGAAUAAAGUGAGGCACGUGUGCCUUUUUGUAUGUACUUUACGAAUAAGGAUCGGCUAACUCCGUGCCAGCAGCCGCGGUAAUACGGAGGAUCCGAGCGUUAUCCGGAUUUAUUGGGUUUAAAGGGAGCGUAGAUGGGUUUAUAAGUCAGUUGUGAAAGUUUGCGGCUCAACAUGAGAAUUGCAAUUGAUACUGGCAGUCGUGAGUACAGAUGAGGUAGGCGGAAUGCGUGGUGUAGCGGUGAAAUGCAUAGAUAUCACGAAGAACACCGAUUGCGAAGGCAGCUUACUAAGCUGCCACUGACAUUGAUGCACGAAAGUGUGGGGAUCAAACAGGAUUAGAUACCCCUGUAGUC